GAUGAACGCUGGCGGCGUGCCUAAUACAUGCAAGUCGAGCGAACGGACGAGAAGCUUGCUUCUCUGAUGUUAGCGGCGGACGGGUGAGUAGCACGUGGAUAACCUACCUAUCAGACUGGGAUAACUUCGGGAAACCGGAGCUAAUACCGGAUAAUAUUUUGAACCGCAUUGUUCAAAAGUGAAAGACGGUCUUGCUGUCACUUAUAGAUGGAUCCGCGCUGCAUUAGCUAGUUGGUAAGGUAACGGCCUUCCAAGGCAACGAUGCAUAGCCGACCUGAGAGAGGGAUCGGCCACACUGGAGCUGAGACACGGUCCAGAGUCCUACGGGAGGCAGCAGUAGGGAAUCUGCCGCAAAGGGCGGAAGCCUGACGGAGCGACGCCGCGUGAGUGAUGAAGGUCUUCGGAUCGUAAAACUCUGUUAUGAGGGAAAAACAUAUGUGUAAGUAGCUGUGCACAUCUUGACGGUACCUAAUCAGAAAGCCACGGCUAACUACGUG
This 497-nucleotide ribosomal RNA is filed under the name uncultured bacterium. RNAcentral's name for it is "partial 16S ribosomal RNA". It matches the Rfam family "Bacterial small subunit ribosomal RNA", at positions 28 to 507 of the family's 1533-position model. The record is from RNAcentral.